RNAcentral lists this ribosomal RNA (497 nucleotides) under uncultured bacterium. RNAcentral's name for it is "partial 16S ribosomal RNA". It matches the Rfam family "Bacterial small subunit ribosomal RNA", at positions 28 to 507 of the family's 1533-position model. The record is from RNAcentral.
GAUGAACGCUGGCGGCGUGCCUAAUACAUGCAAGUCGAGCGAACGGAUAAGGAGCUUGCUCCUUUGACGUUAGCGGCGGACGGGUGAGUAACACGUGGGUAACCUACCUAUAAGACUGGGAUAACUUCGGGAAACCGGAGCUAAUACCGGAUAACAUUUGGAACCGCAUGGUUCUAAAGUGAAAGAUGGUUUUGCUAUCACUUAUAGAUGGACCCGCGCCGUAUUAGCUAGUUGGUAAGGUAACGGCUUACCAAGGCAACGAUACGUAGCCGACCUGAGAGGGUGAUCGGCCACACUGGAACUGAGACACGGUCCAGACUCCUACGGGAGGCAGCAGUAGGGAAUCUUCCGCAAUGGGCGAAAGCCUGACGGAGCAACGCCGCGUGAGUGAUGAAGGGUUUCGGCUCGUAAAACUCUGUUAUUAGGGAAGAACAAACGUGUAAGUAACUGUGCACGUCUUGACGGUACCUAAUCAGAAAGCCACGGCUAACUACGUG